CUUCCGUAGGGGGAACCUGCGGAAGGAUCAUUACAGAAUGAAAAGUGCUUAACUGCAUUUUUUCUUACACAUGUGUUUUUCUUUUUUUGAAAACUUUGCUUUGGUAGGCCUUCUAUAUGGGGCCUGCCAGAGAUUAAACUCAACCAAAUUUUAUUUAAUGUCAACCGAUUAUUUAAUAGUCAAAACUUUCAACAACGGAUCUCUUGGUUCUCGCAUCGAUGAAGAACGCAGCGAAAUGCGAUAAGUAAUAUGAAUUGCAGAUAUUCGUGAAUCAUCGAAUCUUUGAACGCACAUUGCGCCCUUUGGUAUUCCAAAGGGCAUGCCUGUUUGAGCGUCAUUUCUCCCUCAAACCCUCGGGUUUGGUGUUGAGCGAUACGCUGGGUUUGCUUGAAAGAAAGGCGGAGUAUAAACUAAUGGAUAGGUUUUUUCCACUCAUUGGUACAAACUCCAAAACUUCUUCCAAAUUCGACCUCAAAUCAGGUAGGACUACCCGCUGAACUUAAGCAUAUCAAUAAGCGGAGGAA
RNAcentral lists this ribosomal RNA (524 nucleotides) under Lodderomyces parapsilosis. RNAcentral's name for it is "eukaryotic LSU rRNA". The stretch from base 184 to 337 matches the Rfam family "5.8S ribosomal RNA". Lineage: Eukaryota; Fungi; Ascomycota; Pichiomycetes; Serinales; Debaryomycetaceae. The record is from RNAcentral.